GUAACAGUGAUAGGCAAUUAAGAAAAACGUUAAGAGAAUUUGCUCCUGUGAGGUGUGACGAUCAAACAGAGACUGAUGCUAUCUACCACCCCCUCACCUGCUGGUCCACUUUGCUCAUCCUUGACUAAGCUUUCCCCACAUUCACUCCUGCUCCUACUCUGCUUGGCAGGUUACCCCAGUCGCAGACAGAAUGGGCCCAGUUACUAGAAUCUCAGCAGAAGUAUCAUGACUCAGAGUUACAAAAAUGGCGUGAGAUCAUCAAAUCCUCCGUGAUGCUUCUAGACCAGAUGAAGGAUUCACUAAUAAAUCUCCAGAAUGGCAUCGGGUCCCGGGACUUCGGGUCAGAUCCAGAGGAGAAACGGAAACGUUUCCACUAACAGGCAGGAAUGCAGGAGGCCAGAGGACGGUGUGCAAUAUGUGUAAAUAGGAUAUAUAAAUAUAUAUAUAUAUAUAUAAAUAUAUAUACAGAAUAUAAAUAUAUAUAUUAUAUACAGAUUUUAAGAGAAAAAAAAAAAAAAGCCUACGUACCGAGAGGAAGGACUGACCUCCAACACUGGCUGAAAUGGAGUGUCUCAGUGGUAGUGUGGGGUGUGUGUGUUGCGUGUGUGUGUGUGUAUGGGAGGGCUGUGCUCUCCUGGCACUGAGGUGUGCUUAGGAAUGCACCCAAGUGUGCUACCCUGGGCCUGUUUGCACCACUGUUCUGUAAUAUUCCUGGCUGUUCGUCUGUCUGUCUGUCUGUUUCUGUUGUUUCAAAGGGAAGCAUCAGAGUGAAUGCCCCUCCCCUCCCUGCGCAUGAAGGUCCCUGACUGAUGAUAUGUAUCUACACGUAUAAAGGGAACACUGUCAACUUUCUUACCUUGCUGGCUUCAGGGCAGAGAGGUUUUGGCAAUCACCAUCGAUCCCUUAUGAAACGAUCCCCCGAUUGGAGAGGAGGCCUCCAGAGGAAUUGCUGUAGGGCUGUGGAGAGCAGGUCUCCCUGGCAAUCAUCUUCUACGUCUCUUGGAGCAGAAAUGCAAUUUGCUGCCAUGCUGGCCAGCCUGGUUCAGAGAGCAAAGCACAGAAUGUAAACGAGCCUGAAAUGAUUCCUCCAAACACUUAGUUUGCCUCCUCCUGUAAUUGAUAGUGCAUUAAUAGCUGAGGAGAUGGCGGGGAGCAGGAGUGUCUGCCCACACGAUGCUCGGAAGGGGGGGAGCCACACUGCAGAAAGCACACUUCCAUUUCUUUUGACAGUGUCCCCUUUACUUUUGCUGUGGUUCUCUGCUUUCUGUGUGCUUGGGCCCCUGCCAUUAAGCCAUCCCCGUGCUGAAGAUCUACAUCGGUGCUGAUAAGGGCUGCCUGUGGGACUUCUCACAACAGGGAGAGUGCCCCAGCUACAAAAGAAAACCAAAAUGAGUAUUUAUAUGUGAGCACUCCUUCCUGCCAGGCUGUGUGCUGUUAGCACAACGUGGAGUGGGAGAGCUAAGGAAACAGCAGAACUACUCUUGGUGUCCUGCUUGGUAAAUUCACCUCUCAUCCCUGGUCUGCGAGAUCAUUUUGUUCAUACCUCUUAGCCUUCAUCUUUACUUCUGAGCUACGUAGGAAAACAAAUUAUUUUCCUUCAGCGGUGACAGCAAAAGGAUAUCUUUGCUUUUGAUACUUACAUGACUGCAUCUACAGCUGCAGGGCCUCCGUCAGCCUAGGAGAGAUUAGGAAGGGCCCCAAGGAACAAAAAAGAAGACAGAAAAAGUACUGCCAAGGGGCGUGGGAUAGACCUGGCUGUUAUCCACAGUGUAAGGUAGUGACUGGGAUCUCUCCUAAGCUAGAUAGCACUGCAUUGGCUCCCUAAGCAAGUCAGGUGGCAGACCUGCAUUAAAAAAAACAGCAUGCAUUUUUACUACUUUCUAGGGCAUUUCUCCAGAUUCCCAUUAGCAGCCACAUGAGGGAAAGAGGGACUGUGCACUGGGUGGGAUGGGGGGUGCCCAAGUAAGCAAUUAAUAAAUGCUUUCUCAUCUUACCCAGCCCGGUAGGGUAGGUGACAUGCAAGGCACUCAGUCUCCACCUUUGUCGAGAACCUUUGUUCAGAAGCAGGACAUGUCCACUCCUAGAUGGCAGGAAGGAGUCAGCUGUGUGUUCCCACAAGAAAUGGUGCAGGUCUCAUGUGUCCGUUGGUCUCUAGCUCGAAUUGGCACUGAAAGAGAAGGGGACAUAAGGGUGAGUGAGUGUUUUUUUGCAUCUUAGUAUAGCAGGAAUCCACACAGCUGAGGAAAACCCUCACAAGCUCCAGCUUAUGCAGCCCAACCAGGGCAAGGUACUGCCAUUAGAAGUAACCUUCAGUCUCCCAGCCUGCCUCAUAAUUAAAUGACCAAAUGCUAGAAACAGCAUGACAUAGAGAAGAAGACUAACAGGUUACUGAAUGCUCUUAAAAGACUCUGAAAGCAAGGUACAAUUGGCAAUGCCUUGGGAACUAGGGAGUUACUUGUAUUGAUGACUGUUUGAUUUCGUGCUGCUGACUACUAUGCUGCUCCCUGACUUCUUCCAGGGGUGCUGCUGAAAUGGCUGCUAUACAACAAAUCUGAGCUGCUAGAGCCUGAGAAGGGCAUUCUGCUGCUCUCACCUUGGGACCAAGGGGCCCCAGUUCCCUGCUGCUGACUUGCCACACUGGCUGAGAUGCCCCUUCGCCACUCCUGUGUUGCUAAGCACAGAAAAAUGCUUUGCAGCCCAUCUUCCCCACUUUUGGUAUUUAAUUCCAUAGAGCAGGAAAAAAAUAAAGAGAGAGGAAGGCCUAUGUUUGCUGCCUUGCCCUUGCCAGAAAAGAAGAAGCAAGAGAAAGAAACCUGGAAUGUGGGUCUUGGCAGCAUGGCCAGCAAACUUCUGUACAUACACAAACAGAACCCAGCAGAGGACAGAAAACCCACGUGUCUGAAAAGGUCCAAAAUAAAUGCCAGUAGCUAGAGCUGGCUGCUUACCAAGCUGACAUUCUCUUGCUGGUUAUGGAGGCAAGAAAUCCCUUUGCUCGCAUGUGCAUCCUCCUUCCUCUGCAGCAUCUCUGCAGACUGCGGUCACGUUGGGUUCUGGAUGUUCCCACUGGUACAGCUUCCUUGGGCUUGGCCUUAGAGACAAAUUAAUGUGAGGUUGCACACAGGCAGCUGUAAAAGUAUUAAGCACUACUAUUCAUUUUGCCUGCAUGUUAAACUGGGUUUAACAUGUCUGACAGAAAUAAUCUGUCCAGCAAGUGGAGCUGGGUUUGGAUUUGCUGAAUUUUGGCAGCUACAAAAGAGACUGUCAAAGAAACAUGGCUCCAGCCAAACGUGCACAUUCAUGCCAACAGAGAGUAACCUAAUUUGUGCCAAGUAAGAUGCUACCUAUCAGCAGGAGGGAGAUGACAAAGCCAUCUUGCCCGUUAGUCUAUAUCACCUGCUUCUGUAGGAGAAGAAUGCAUCACUAAUCCUAGCUUGACAGAAUUUUAAUAAAUACAUACCUUCUAAUGGUUACCUAAAAGGAAACGUUUGGGUUAUGGCAUCUGAGAUGAGCUCAAGGUGAAUUUGAGCACUUUUCCCAUCAGACAGACCGUUUGUUUCAGAAGCUCACUUGGGUGUAGAUGGGGACAUACUUCAGCCUGCUCAUCCCUCAGCACAAAACUACCUAGCCUGCACAAAUAUGCUUUUCCCCACCUUUAUAGGAGCCAGUAGAAAGUUCAUUUUCCAAUUAGCAACUGGGAACACUUAGUGCCAGUACUUAAGAUGAGACCUUUUGGAUAUGCUCUGCAGUGAUUUCUGUGCAGACACAGAGGCUUCACAGUGUGCUGAGUGCAGUCCCUCCUUGUCCCAUGGCCCUUAUCCCUCUUCCUUUCCUGCUAGCUUUGCCUUCUCAGAUCUGUAUUUCAGAAGCACCUGAAGAGAGGGGACAGAGAGGGCAGCCUGCAGCUUGCACCCUAUCCAGCACCAGGAAAGAGCUCCAGGCUGAGGUGGUUCUCUCCAUACUACUCAGAGUGGGAAAACUUUUGAGGCUCUUCUUCCUCCUGGGUUCAUUUACAUAGAGUUCAUUUACAUCAAGUUAGAAAGCAAGUUCACACGUAUGACAAACCCCUCUGUGAAUGCUGGUCCCCAGGCCUACUGCAGUGAUCUGGGAAGAGGCUCUGACCCCAAAAGGUAUUCCUUUAUAACGUGUGGCUAACUAACAUGCUGAGUCCUACUCUGCUGCCACUGUGAAGAGGCCAUGCUCUCAAGAGUACUUCUCUACAAGAACAUCCCUAGUGCAUUUCUAUGCUUGCUCCCAGGUGAGGUAUGUACCAAACUACCCAUUUUCCAGCAUACAAUCAGGUAGCUCUCUAUCUGAGUUUCCUUUUCCCAACCAGGAUAACAGGCUGACGACUUUCUAAUUUAAAAGCUAGGAAUUUCUGGUUCCACAGAACACUGGAAGUGGCACAGAGCUGAAGCUGCAUUGCUCAGUGCUCGCAGCACUGCUGGCUAGGGGCAGGAGGGGCAAUUCUGUCAUGUUUCUCAGGGCAGCUGGCAGAACUGUGUUGGCAGAACUCUGAAGUAUGUGCUCAACAUAGAGAUCAUUCCAGCAGGGUCUGCUGCCAUUGAGAAGUUUCAUGGUGGGUUCGUGUAGAUUCUGGCUCAGUCUUUUCAGACAGUCUCAGUACUAGUUUAAAUAUCCAGCAGGGGCUUGCUUAAAAACAACUCAAAACAGAGACUCUUAAACCAAAGCACCUGAGGUAAGUAGCUUGCAAAACAUUUGUAUCAGUGUAGUUGCUGAGGUGUAACUGUGCUGACUUUCUGGCCCGUUCCCUCUGCCUGGCAUGCUCUGAUCCCUGUGCUUUGCACCCUCCCCUGCACGAUUCUCUUUGUGCCAUAAUACGUUUCUUUUUUAGAUGUGCACACUGGCCAAAUAAUAUCCUCAUGUCUUUAUUGACUGCCGACUGAGAUUAUUCCCUGACCUAGCCAGACAGCAUGGGCUUCAACCCUCUGCAUGGAUCCUGGUGGGCCAUGCUCCCCUCUCCCACACGUUUUGCAGGGCUUGCUAUGGCUUUUCCCUCUCCCCACACACCUCUGCUGCCGGACAAUCAUUCCCUUUGUCAUGGAUGGACUGACCUGGUGCUGUCCCCGCUUGCCUUCCCUUGAUGCAGUCUGUACGCCCUUUAAGUGAAUGUGUUUUGUUUGUUUUCUUAUUUUCUUCAGUAGGGAAAAGACUUCCUUCUGCGGAAGGAGUUAUAUUUGCACAUGGCUCAGGGAGGUACCUCCUCUGGCCGUUUCUGUUACCUCACUCAUGUAGGCCAAUUCCAUUGCUAACGUUAAAUGGCCACCCUUCCCCAACCCAAACUCCAAGAAUCGUUAGGGAAUAAAACAAAUGUGCAGCUCAGGUUCUACAGCCGCUUGGUCGUGUCUCAGUCUUGGCCCAAAUUGCCCCAGCAGUGUAAGGAGGUGGGAGAACGGCUGUUGCAAAGCAGCUCUACCCAGCAAAGAGGUGGAGCCUGCACCACACACGUGCAUUCCAGUCUUUGCAAGCCCACCUCCCUUGGGAUAGCACUUCGCAGAGCAGAUACAGCAGCACUAACCUGGCUCUUGGCCCGACGAGCUCAGAGCAGAGGGAGGAGCAGCAGAACCAUCGCAGCGUACAUCUCUGACCACCAGGACUGGCACUGUGUGGCUGUGGCACCUCUGGGACAUGGUCACUCUCACUGCAGUUCAUCUCAUCACGCGCUCCAGGGCUGGGUAAAGCUGCUAUAAACACCCUGGAGUGUGUUCUGCCCACCUGAGCCCCACAUCCUGCAACCCCGAUCGCUGCCGCAAUUGCAGAUUAAUGAGGAUCUCCUCGUGUCAGCAAGGCGAGGGAACGGUCAUACAGAAACCCAUGGGUGUGCAUUCCCCUUCUGGAUUUCAGCACCAGGGCCAGGGAAGCAGAGGGCUGUUGGCCACAGCCUGCAGCACCGCCAUGAACUUCAGGGUGGGCUGGGGGAGGACCCGUGGUUUUGUUUUAGGAGUUGUUGAACUGUCAUCAGGUUUGCGCUGUGCGCAAAACGCGAGGAAAUGAUGAUGAAACUUACCUGCUAGAACCUAGGAAUUGUAAAGGCUAUGCAGCCAAAACUCCAUGUAAGUAGCUAGUACAAUGGAAGUACGGUAUAAAUUAAACAGAAGUCUAUCAAACAACAGUGUGACUCGUGAGUGCUUUGUUACUUUUAUUGUCCUGCCUGCUUCUGGUCUUUUCUGUCAUUUCCAAAUACACAGAGAGGGUCUCUUCAGGUACCAACCAGGACCGUCUCUCCCAGGACAUAAACCUGCCUUUAAUGCUGCCCUUGAAAUAAACCAACUGUUUUUUUGUUUUUUUUUUUCACUGUGGGAAUCCUGAGCAAAAUUUAGACACCAUUUUCCCAUCUAGGACAACACAGGGCAAUAGGCAUAUGCAGGAACUGGAAAAGUGAAAGAUGUGUCCAAAAAGCAUCUAAAUGUGUAAAAUACCACAAGGUGCAGGACUGCGGGACAGCCCUUCUUUUCCACCCGAGGUAGCUCUCAAGACAGUUUGUUUGCUCCUCUUUUUUUUUGUUUCUUUUUGGCUCAACGUUGUACCAUCAGGUUAUCAGCACUUCAUAAGGGCUGGGAGGAACACGGCUGAAGUGGGAGGGGGGUUUCUGUGACCUUACCUAAAAAUCACCCUGGGUGUUAGUGCCAUGAUCAGCGACGGAAACUGCAGGGACAGCUCCUCUGUUGCUGUGGAUCUAGAGUUAGGAUUAUGCCCCCAGGUGCCCUGAGGCCAGGCAAGAUGGCCUAGGGAAAAUGAAGACACCCAGCAGAAUGAAAGGAGGAGGUAUUUGGGGAUAUCAGAGUUUAACGUGCCCAGACUACAAGCGUGCUUCAGCUGCAAAAUGUGCUCAGGUUGCCAGACUCAGCUCUGUGAAGACUGCAUCAUAACAAUGGGCUGAAGUUGAAACUUGCUCUUAAAGAAGGAAUUUUGAACCACGGCCAGUUAGAAAUCCGUCCUGGACUUACAAAUGGAGACAUCUCUAUGAUUUUUAGCAACACAAACUGCAGCAGAACAUAAGCAGGGGAAAUCCCGUACGUAAGAAGCAUGCCUUGAGAUUCACAAGCACUUCAUAGUAUUUAGAAGCAGUCAGUGUAGCAAAACUUGUCAGCUCUUGCAAGCAAUAAAGGCUCCAUUGCAGCAGGGAUGCAGCAACAUCUCCCAUAUGAAAAAACCCUCAAUCUUUCCCCACUUCAUCCUAAAGUCCAACUCUACCCUGGCCAAUGUUUCUGCCUGGUGUUUCCUCAUAAUCCUGUUGGUUGCGCUCAACUGAUCUAUGUUUGAAGCCAGCAAACUAAUUGCACUCUGCUUAAGCCACUAAGAUUUAGAAGGAAAAUUUGCAUAGGUACCAUUGAAUUUACAGUGUAUUUCCUGUGCAGAAAUGUGUCAUUUACAAUGAAUACUGACUAUUCAAAUUGGUGACUAAUCACAAAACAGAAUUACUACAGACGAGGACAAAUUAAGCAUCUUCUCUCUAUUCCUCUAGGUGGUGCUGCAAUAUAGUAUAAGAAGACCAUCACAAUUGCAAGUAUUAUUUUACAAAGCUGUGUCCCACUCAGAGGGCUAUGCAUCCUAUUUACUUUGCUUGCCUGUUUGCAUCCAGCUGUCUUCCUUUCAUAGCAUCCCCCAGAAACAGGUUAAAAGCAUACCUUGUCUUACUGGCUCCCCUGUGGUUGCUGAACACGGCUCCACAGGUUAUUCCUAUCAAUGUGUCUCUCUGUAUGCUUGAGGAGUAAACCUGCUGCACAAGGCAAAUAGAAGGAACUAAGAAAUUCAACUCUUGCUAAGUGAAAGGGAGGGGACAGGGAAUUCUUAUACUUACGUUAUACAGUCUCCCAAAUUAGGAGUACUUCAGGAUUUAUAUUCUCAGCUCCCUCCUUCAGAAGCAGGUGUGACCAUAGCACAGGGACUCAUCUUCCUACUGCACAUUUUUAUCUGUUUUAAUGCAUUUAUAGUUCUUAUGCUACUCUACGUCUGCCCUGGCAGCCCAAAGUCCAAAGGAACUUACUGAGCAACAACUACACUAAUUAAACUCUUCCUGUUUAACACCUAUAGUGACUUCUUGGGCUGUGGUGGAACAUCAUCACCUUAAGAUGAAGAUAUUCCCAAUCCUGCAGGUCAGAGUAACAGUACACAUACCCUUUAUGUCUGCAAUGGAGAACUAGCAUAUUUUGCAAAUAAAGGUGGUGGUGACAGCAGCUAAGAAAUGACAUUAACAGUUACAAAGCCAUUAACGUGAUGAUGGAACUGAAACUUGGGAAGGAGCCGUGCUGCCCGCACCCCCUGUGCCCUUUGCUCAGCAUGCUUCAAAAGGAGAGUCCUUUAACAAAUGGGCUGGCAGCUCAGAAUGGAGUCAUGAGGCCAAAGUCAAGGCUGUACAGAGUCCAAGGCAAAUGGAAGAGAAUUUACACUUCCCCGUAUUUCCUCCCGAUGUUGUAGAGCUCCCCCUCAAACCUGGCUGGCAUGACGUGGUCCUUCUGUCUUCAGAGCCCCUG
This 8492-nucleotide long non-coding RNA is filed under the name Gallus gallus (chicken). RNAcentral describes it as "long non-coding RNA NONGGAT005247". Lineage: Eukaryota; Metazoa; Chordata; Aves; Galliformes; Phasianidae. The record is from RNAcentral.